Molecule: ribosomal RNA, 485 nt
Filed under: uncultured bacterium
Lineage: Bacteria
Description: bacterial SSU rRNA
Rfam family: Bacterial small subunit ribosomal RNA
Source: RNAcentral
CUACGUGCCAGCAGCCGCGGUAAUACGUAGGGCGCGAGCGUUGUCCGGAAUUAUUGGGCGUAAAGAGCUUGUAGGCGGUUUGUCGCGUCUGCUGUGAAAGGCCGGGGCUUAACCCCGUGUAUUGCAGUGGGUACGGGCAGACUAGAGUGCAGUAGGGGAGACUGGAAUUCCUGGUGUAGCGGUGGAAUGCGCAGAUAUCAGGAGGAACACCGAUGGCGAAGGCAGGUCUCUGGGCUGUAACUGACGCUGAGAAGCGAAAGCAUGGGGAGCGAACAGGAUUAGAUACCCUGGUAGUCCAUGCCGUAAACGUUGGGCACUAGGUGUGGGGGACAUUCCACGUUUUCCGCGCCGUAGCUAACGCAUUAAGUGCCCCGCCUGGGGAGUACGGCCGCAAGGCUAAAACUCAAAGAAAUUGACGGGGGCCCGCACAAGCGGCGGAGCAUGCGGAUUAAUUCGAUGCAACGCGAAGAACCUUACCAGGGCUU